UCAAAACAUCGUAACCUGCA
Molecule: non-coding RNA, 20 nt
Filed under: Arabidopsis thaliana (thale cress)
Lineage: Eukaryota; Viridiplantae; Streptophyta; Magnoliopsida; Brassicales; Brassicaceae
Source: RNAcentral